AUUAAGCCAUGCAUGUUUCCGCAAUCAGGGACGAAUAGCUCAGUAAAACUGCGAUGAUUUAGUCUGGCUGUGUAGAUAACUACGUGAAAAUGUAGCUAAGGGAAGGCAGAAUAAGACGCAGGACUAUCAGUUAGUUGGUAGUGUAAUGGACUACCAAGACAGUGACGGUUGACGGGAAAUUAGGGUUUUGUACCGGAGAGGGAGCCUGAGAGAUUGCUCCCACGUCCAAGGACGGCAGCAGGCGCGAAAAUUGCCCACUCUUUGCAGGAGGCAGUUAUGAGACGUGAAGAUGAGUAUCUUGUAAAGAGGGAUAGGAGAAUUGGAGGGCAAGUUUGGUGCCAGCAGCCGCGGUAAUACCGACUCCAAGAGUGUGUAUGAGAGAUGCUGCAGUUAAAAAGUCCGUAGUCAUAGAAGGGCAAAGAGAGAUGCGAGGUCUCACAGUGCGAUGAUGGAGGAGCCGAUGGGGAACAUAGUAUACCAGGGCGAGAGAUGAAAUGCCAAGACCCCUGGUGGACUGAGCGAGGCGAAGGCGAUGUUCUUGUAGGCAUUCGGUGAUCGAGGACGAAGGCUGGAGUAUCGAAAGUGAUUAGAUACCGCAGUAGUUCCAGCAGUAAAAGAUGCCGACAUGCUCAUUGGACACAGUGGGCAGGGAGAAAUCUUAGAGUUCGGGCUCUGGGGAUAGUAUGCUCGCAAGGGUGAAAAUUAAAGAAAUUGACGGAGCUACACCACAAGGAGUGGAUUGUGCGGCUUAAUUUGACUCAACGCGAGGAAACUUACCAGGGCCAAGUAUUGUGUAGAAACGAGCAAUACAGGAGUGGUGCAUGGUCGUUGGAAAUUGAUGGGAUGACUUUGACCUUAA
RNAcentral lists this ribosomal RNA (859 nucleotides) under Vittaforma corneae. Its description in RNAcentral is "SSU rRNA". It matches the Rfam family "Microsporidia small subunit ribosomal RNA", at positions 42 to 942 of the family's 1311-position model. Lineage: Eukaryota; Fungi; Microsporidia; Nosematidae. The record is from RNAcentral.